Molecule: unclassified non-coding RNA, 378 nt
Filed under: plant metagenome
Description: partial contains 5.8S ribosomal RNA, internal transcribed spacer 2, and large subunit ribosomal RNA
Rfam family: 5.8S ribosomal RNA (bases 1-105)
Source: RNAcentral
GAAAUGCGAUAAGUAAUGUGAAUUGCAGAAUUCAGUGAAUCAUCGAAUCUUUGAACGCACCUUGCGCUCCUUGGUAUUCCUUGGAGCAUGCCUGUUUGAGUAUCAUGAAAUCAUCAAAGUAAAUCUUUUGUUAACUCAAUUGGUUUCUACUUUGGUAUUGGAGGUCUUUGCAGCUUCACACCUGCUCCUCUUUGUUCAUUAGCUGGAUCUCAGUGUUAUGCUUGGUUCCACUUGGCGUGAUAAGUUAUCUAUCGCUGAGGACACUGUAAAAGGUGGCCAAGGUAAAUGCAGAUGAACCGCUUCUAAUAGUCCAUUGACUUGGACAAUACUUUUAUGAUCUGAUCUCAAAUCAGGUAGGACUACCCGCUGAACUUAAGC